This 5837-nucleotide unclassified non-coding RNA is filed under the name Anneissia japonica. RNAcentral's name for it is "gPI ethanolamine phosphate transferase 3-like, transcript variant X3". The record is from RNAcentral. Lineage: Eukaryota; Metazoa; Echinodermata; Crinoidea; Comatulida; Comatulidae.
AUGCUCCAUGUGUGUGUCAUAUCCCGUGUGAGAGAAGUGGCUAAGAAUAAGAUAGAUGUCUCUUAACCUAGGCCUAGAUUAAUUCAAAUUUAGUUAAAAUGGCGGUAGGAACGAAGUUGUUUUGCAUAUUAAUGUGGAUUUCGUGUUUGUAUGCUGUAAGCAUAUUUAUUUUUACCAAAGGAUUUUUAUUGAAACGGCUAGAAAUUCCUAACAAAAGUGACUGUUCGAUCAGGCUCGAGGAACAGUCGGUUUUCUCGAUGAGGACACAAGAAGGAGGACUCUUCUCAGACGAUGCAUAUGGGGACACCCCACACGUAGGCCUAGGAUCACAAUUUCAUAUCGAUAAUAUGUGUACUGCGCAGGAUCGUUUCAACAAAUCUAUAAUACUUCUUAUUGACGCUCUUCGUUACGACUUUCUUUUAUUUAAUGAAUCUCUUGAUGCAACGGGAACUUUGCCAUUUCAAAAUAAGCUACCAAUUAUACAAAGUUUAAUUGAAAAGAAACCAUCUCAUUCUCUUCUUUAUCAAUUCUUAGCUGAUCCACCAACAACGACAAUGCAACGCCUAAAGGGGCUUACCACAGGGAGCCUACCAACAUUUGUUGAUGUGGGAAACAACUUUGCGAGUUCGGAAGUUGAGGAAGAUAACCUAAUUCACCAGUUGGUGAAAGCAGGGAAAAAUAUAACAUUCAUGGGCGAUGAUACGUGGGAGUCACUUUUUGCGGGUAAAUUUGCGAAAUCUUUUCCAUUUCCAUCAUUCAACGUAAAGGAUUUACAUUCAGUGGACAAUGGAAUCAUGAAACACCUUCUGCCAGAAAUUAAUCAGUCUGAUUGGAAUAUCCUGAUAGCUCACUUCCUUGGUGUUGACCACUGUGGUCAUAGAUAUGGCCCAUACCAUUCUGCAAUGGGGGAGAAGCUCUCGCAGAUGAAUGAUGUAAUUAGUUCGGUGGUAGAAAACAUGGACAACGAUACACUGCUACUAGUUUUUGGUGACCACGGAAUGACAGGUACUGGAGACCACGGUGGUGAUAGUAAUGACGAGCUUACAGCGGGUCUCUUUAUCUACAGUCAAAAAGAUCUCAGAAAGCUUAACCCUGGAUUGGCAAUGAAUGCCUACCGAUCAAUAUCCCAGAUUGACUUGGUCCCAAGUUUGUCUCUUCUUCUAGGAAUUCCUGUUCCAUUCUCUAACCUAGGAAUGGUCAUUCCUGAGCUUUUUAUGUUUGGUGCUGAUAGAAAAUCUCCUGAAGUACUGGACCACCUUUCACUGUUGUUAGCAAAAUAUCAUCCAGCAUACCUGAGGAUGGAAGCAUUGAGGAUUAACAGUUUUCAAGUGAAACGUUAUCUGGAUUCCUACUCAAGAAAGGUGGAUGAGUUCCCAUACCAUAUUUCAGCAAUAUUAGAACAGAAGUUUGCCAAUGCAGAAACACUGUUUCACAAUUUACAACAGAACCUAAAUGAUGAAGAAGUAAAAAUUGCGAUAGAUGGUGCAACAGCUAUGUACAUGGAAUACCUCUCAGGUGUCAAAGAGAUGUGCCGUGGUAACUGGGCUAAGUUUGAUCUUUUGUCAAUGGCAUGUGGAGUAGUUCUCACUGUCAGCACUUGUGUGGCCGUGUGGGUAGUUCUCAACUUUGUGGACGGAAUUAAAGACAGAGAAAAGAUUGAGGAUACCCUAAAUUCUCUUUUAGGAAACAUGUUAACUGGUAUGAUAACAAUAUUUCCCAUGAGCGUUAUAAUCACAAGCCAGGUGGAAGAUUUAAUGACAGUCAAGACAACGAUCCUGUUGUUUUUUCCUGCAUUAGGUUCCAUUCUUGGGAGUCUUCUAUGUGUUCUUCAGACUCAAGGAAUGCCAUGUAUGUCUGAUGUUUUAUUAUACAUAAAACAUACACCAAAGGAAUCACUUUGUUCUUCUGGAUUGCUGUUUCUUUAUGUGGUGUCACUAACAUCAAAUAGUUUUGUUGUGUAUGAAGACAGGACAGCAGUAUUUCUACUUCAAUUUAUCGUCUUGUUAGUGUAUCUUAUAUCAGGUAUAAGAAGCUUAAUAAAAUUUAAAAGAAUUAAAUCUCGCGACAUUGGUCGAAUAUUGACGCACCCUGUUGCCAUAGUCACAUACAUGUUAUUAGCUUUUCAAGCGUGUGUGCGGUUAUCAUCACACUUUAGGAUAUGUCGAGAAGAACAAGUGCCAUGCUCCCAAUCAGAUCUCUUGCAACCACUACUUGUUUUUGAUCCUGAGAACAGCACAUACAAUAAUUUUCGUUAUAUUAAAGCAGUUGUAAGCAUCUGUUUGAUUCCAUUUCUUUUAAAAUUCUGGUUACAGAAGCAAGGGAACUUGAACGGAAGUUCUGCUGCUAGUGUAUGUAUCAAGUAUGCAUUGCCAACAAUAUCUGUUUUUAUAUUCUUUCAUUGGGGUCUCAUGUCUCUGCCAGAAAAAGUUCUUGAUAAAUUGCCAAUGUGGCAGCAAACAUUUCUAGCAAAGUGUGUGUAUGUUCUCUCAACCAUUUCCAUCGUAUCAAUAAUCUGGCAGCCUUUGUUGAUUCAUAUUCUUGAGCGUGAAAAGAAACACCAACACAAAUUCCACAGCAAAGGUGAACAUGAUGAUCAGGUUGUUCCUCGUCUCUUUGAUUACAUUAAAUCAAGUUUUCAAAACCAGAAUGGACGUGGAAAGCAAGCUACAACUGUAACACAUGAAAAAAUCCAAGAAACACCGGCAGUGUUUGGUUUAGCGACAACCUAUUCUGCUUGUCUUCUGCAGUUAAUUGCAACCGUUAUACUUGUCCUCUCCAUGUUGCUAGGUGAUGGAUUCUCACCUGCAUUAACAUUAGUGUGUGUACAGGUGUUGCUGUACCUUGAACUUGUGGCAUGCAUUCGCCAUGCACAGCUAAAAAUAUUUAGUGCUUUACCCGAGCUUAAAAAAAUGGCACUACUGCAUGUUACUUGGUAUGCUGUGUUUGGCUGGGGGUUAAUGGCCUCCCAGUUCUUCUUUGUUACUGGUCACCAUGCCACGUUUCCAUCAAUUCGCUUUGAAGCCGGGUUUGUUGGUUUUAAUGGUGACUUUCCUGUCUACCUAUACUUCAUCCCAGCAGUUUUGAUUGGUGCAAAUACAUUUUCUUCUAAUAUCAUCUUCGGUCUGGCUCUUCCAUUGGUCCUUUUAUGGCCAUUCUCAAGAGGGAAGUUAGCAGAUAAGAAGAAUUCUGACAAUGAGGGAGAGGUUGUUUUGCGGGACCACUGCACAGAACUACGCAUUGGCUUAUUCCGAUUGGUGAUGCUUUAUAUCUUGUUCCAUGGCUGCAAGCUCCUUGGUUGCAUGUUCUCGGCAGCAGUUCAUCGACGGCACCUAAUGAUCUGGAAGAUAUUUGCACCGCGGUACAUAUUUGAUGGUAUCGGGUUCCUCGUCACGCUGGUAGUUGUACUGUUGGCCUACCUCUUCAUUCUUAGAACAGAUAACCAACUUGCCAAGUGGUUGGCCAGACUUUUCAAAAUAGUAAAACUUUUAAGAGAUUCUAGGUGAUGUGUUUUAAUGAAAAUAUUUCUUCAAAUAUUUCCAUAAAAACCUAGUGGUAAUAAAUGUUAUUGUUUGAAUGUUAAUUGUUAAUGUUAAGGGCAUAAAUUGUCAAAUACCUGUAGUUAAAAUUGCCAAAACCAGGUAAAAACUCUUAUUGAAUUUGUAUAUUUGAGCUAUGUUCAUUUAACAUUGCCAUCUUAAAAAUAUGAAUGAUUACUGCACAGUGUGUGUUUAGUUAAGAGUAGAACAUUUGAAGAAUAAAAUUCAAUAUUUGAAUUGCAUACAGUACUUUAAGUAAACUUAAGUAUUAAUAAUUGCUACAUGAUUUAAAUACCAUAAAACCUGAAAUAGAAACCCUGGGCUUUACAAACUUUAGAUGGGUUUCUUUUCAAGGCUACUUUUGCAAAGCAAAGAGCGGGGGCUUCUUUUCAAAAUGAAUGCUGAAAUUUUAGGAAUUAUUUCUACUAUAAAACAAUAGGGCCACUGUAACAUCAAUCUGUAUCAUGGAGUGUAUUAACUGGCAUUAAAUCAUCUAAACUUUGUUUAAACCGUGUGUUUAAUUUAUUUUGUUUCUUUGAAAUUUAUGUACAGUGUAUAAUGUACUGUACUAUCUCGGAAAGAAGUUCAUGAGCUUCUUUUUUGAGGUUACUUUUGGAAAUUAAAGAGGGGCUUUAAUGGAGAUUCAAGAUUGUCAUUGUUUCGAAAGCCAUCGAUGGCUAUUUAUUAUCCACUCAUAAACAACGCAUGUAUGCAAUCAACACAAUAUAUACCCAACAUUACUGGUUUAGAAUGCCUAAUUUAAUAAUAUCAUUGGAGGAAAUAAACAAAGGUUGUUAGCAAUUUUAAUUGCAUUUGAAAAGAAAGAUGACAAGAACCUUAAUGAACAACCACAAAAAGGAAGAAAUUGGGAAUGGCGGGAGUUUUUAACAGAGAUGGAACAAAUUACGGCGUGGAGGAAAGAAAGUGUGUAGGGGAUGAUUUGAGUUUUUGUCAAUCUUAGAAUGUAAACUAAUAAUACAAAAUUUCUGUCCAACUUAUAAUGAAGAUACAUUAUAAGACGAAAGAAUAGUAGCAAAUUUAGACGAGGAGGCAGAGGGAUUGACAUUCUUGGUGAAAAUUGUCUAUUCUCGAGAUUAAGCCUAUUGGUUUUACAGAAUACAGUCAAACAAAAAUUGUCAAAGUAGAAAUUAUUUUCAUGUCACUUCAUCUUCCCUAUAUUUACAAUGGUUAAUAUUUGCUCUAACUCGAAUAAAUUUAAGUUGAAUAAAACGAAAGUCGAACAACAUUUUACAUGCCAAAUUGAUUUCCAUUGAUUGUUAGUCCGUAAGUCAAAGUUGAUGUAAAACUUAAAUCAUUUUUAGCUGUCGCUGUAUUACAGACAUCGCUGUGAAUGUCAACAAGUGACUCAUACAUUUGGCAAUGCAGAAAUUCUCAUGCUAAGUAAGUCCGACAAGUGACUCGUGUUUACAUUGCAUGGCAGUAUUUUGUGUAGUUUAAUUUACAUGCGAAUGGUAUACUGUACAGUAUUAUCAAAGAAUUUGAAUAAGUGCCCCACUUUGAAUCAAUGUCCCCCUCACAUAAAUUCCCCCUAUAGAGUCUCAUUUGGAAUAAAUGCCUCCCCCCAAAUAAAUGCCCCGGGCUGGGGCGUUUAUUUUUCCUUGAAUAAACAUCCUCCUUAAAUGACUGUAAACAAAACUAAUGGAAAUAACAUUCUCAACACAUUCUAUUAAAUGUUCUACAGUGCUAUAGCAGAAUAACAUUUUAAACCUUUUUGGGACUAAUAGGUCUUUUGGAUUCAUGCAAUCAUUCAUUUUGAUGGUAUUUAUGUAUUGUAGUUCCACAUUUACAUAGAAAAAAAGGGUCGUAUAUACGCAUCCAUUUUACACCAAAAGCAUUCAUGCCCCCCUCUAAUAAACACCCCCUCAAAAACCCUUCUCAACAAGUUAAAAAAAUGUUAAAUCAUAACAUACAAUUAUCACAUCAUACUGCAUGUUAUAUUUGAGCACUAUUAUGAUUUAUCUAUUAAAAUCAAAAUGGUUGUAAUCAGAUAUGAAUUCCCAACAAAGACCUACAGGCCCAUCCAAGUAAGGCAUCUGCAGAGAUAGCAGUCCAGUGUUCGAAUCCUAGUUUAGCAAGAUUUUAAUGUUCAAAAUUUAUAUACAGUAUAAAGGUAAUUACACUAUAGCGUUAUAACAAAAUGGUUUAGAGUUUAUUGUAAAAAGAGUGGGAGAGACUAUAAUACACAAGAUACAUAAAGUAUCAACUUGUACUGACCGAUUCAAUAUAUCUAUCAAGCUUACUUAUUCAUUAAUAUGUUUACUGUACAGCAUACAGACAGUA